UCCCUGGUAGUCUGGUGGUUAGGACUCCAUGCUGCCACUGCAGAGGGCACAGGUUCAAUCCCUGGUCAGGGAA
Molecule: transfer RNA, 73 nt
Filed under: Ovis aries (sheep)
Lineage: Eukaryota; Metazoa; Chordata; Mammalia; Artiodactyla; Bovidae
Rfam family: tRNA
About the family: Transfer RNA (tRNA) molecules are approximately 80 nucleotides in length. Their secondary structure includes four short double-helical elements and three loops (D, anti-codon, and T loops). Further hydrogen bonds mediate the characteristic L-shaped molecular structure. tRNAs have two regions of fundamental functional importance: the anti-codon, which is responsible for specific mRNA codon recognition, and the 3' end, to which the tRNAs corresponding amino acid is attached (by aminoacyl-tRNA synthetases). tRNAs cope with the degeneracy of the genetic code in two manners: having more than one tRNA (with a specific anti-codon) for a particular amino acid; and 'wobble' base-pairing, i.e. permitting non-standard base-pairing at the 3rd anti-codon position.
Source: Rfam by way of RNAcentral